This 254-nucleotide ribosomal RNA is filed under the name uncultured bacterium. RNAcentral describes it as "partial 16S ribosomal RNA". It matches the Rfam family "Bacterial small subunit ribosomal RNA", at positions 524 to 776 of the family's 1533-position model. The record is from RNAcentral.
UACGGAGGGGGCAAGCGUUGUCCGGAAUGACUGGGCGUAAAGGGUGUGUAGGCGGUUAGGUAAGUUAGAUGUGUAAUACCCAGGGCUUAACUCGGGUGCUGCAUCUAAAACUGCCUGACUUGAGUGCUGGAGAGGAUAGUGGAAUUCCUAGUGUAGCGGUGGAAUGCGUAGAUAUUAGGAGGAACAUCAGUGGCGAAGGCGACUAUCUGGACAGUAACUGACGCUGAGGCACGAAAGCGUGGGGAGCAAACAGG